RNAcentral lists this ribosomal RNA (253 nucleotides) under uncultured bacterium. RNAcentral describes it as "partial 16S ribosomal RNA". It matches the Rfam family "Bacterial small subunit ribosomal RNA", at positions 524 to 776 of the family's 1533-position model. The record is from RNAcentral.
UACGUAGGGGGCGAGCGUUGUCCGGAUUUAUUGGGCGUAAAGAGCUUGUAGGCGGUUUGUCGCGUCUGCUGUGAAAAUCCGGGGCUCAACCCCGGACUUGCAGUGGGUACGGGCAGACUAGAGUGUGGUAGGGGAGACUGGAAUUCCUGGUGUAGUGGUGAAAUGCGCAGAUAUCAGGAGGAACACCGGUGGCGAAGGCGGAUCUCUGGGCCAUAACUGACGCUGAGGAGCGAAAGCAUGGGGAGCGAACAGG